GGGGAAUUUUCCGCAAUGGGCGCAAGCCUGACGGAGCAAUACCGCGUGAGGGAGGAAGGUCUGUGGAUUGUAAACCUCUUUUGAUAGGGAAGAACACAAUGACGGUACCUAUCGAAUCAGCAUCGGCUAACUCCGUGCCAGCAGCCGCGGUAAUACGGAGGAUGCAAGCGUUAUCCGGAAUUAUUGGGCGUAAAGCGUCCGUAGGUGGUUAAUCAAGUCUAUUGUCAAAGCCUGGGGCUUAACCCUGGAGAGGCAGUGGAAACUGGUUGACUUGAGUGCGGUAGGGGCAGAGGGAAUUCCCAGUGUAGCGGUGAAAUGCGUAGAUAUUGGGAAGAACACCGGUGGCGAAAGCGCUCUGCUGGGCCUGCACUGACACUGAGGGACGAAAGCUAGGGGAGCGAAAGGGAUUAGAUACCCCUG
RNAcentral lists this ribosomal RNA (420 nucleotides) under uncultured Leptolyngbya sp. RNAcentral describes it as "bacterial SSU rRNA". It matches the Rfam family "Bacterial small subunit ribosomal RNA", at positions 356 to 790 of the family's 1533-position model. The record is from RNAcentral. Lineage: Bacteria; Bacillati; Cyanobacteriota; Cyanophyceae; Leptolyngbyales; Leptolyngbyaceae.